RNAcentral lists this ribosomal RNA (515 nucleotides) under Escherichia coli. RNAcentral describes it as "partial 23S ribosomal RNA". It matches the Rfam family "Bacterial large subunit ribosomal RNA", at positions 418 to 934 of the family's 2925-position model. The record is from RNAcentral. Lineage: Bacteria; Pseudomonadati; Pseudomonadota; Gammaproteobacteria; Enterobacterales; Enterobacteriaceae. RNAcentral also lists the same sequence under 6 other names.
CGGGACACGUGGUAUCCUGUCUGAAUAUGGGGGGACCAUCCUCCAAGGCUAAAUACUCCUGACUGACCGAUAGUGAACCAGUACCGUGAGGGAAAGGCGAAAAGAACCCCGGCGAGGGGAGUGAAAAAGAACCUGAAACCGUGUACGUACAAGCAGUGGGAGCACGCUUAGGCGUGUGACUGCGUACCUUUUGUAUAAUGGGUCAGCGACUUAUAUUCUGUAGCAAGGUUAACCGAAUAGGGGAGCCGAAGGGAAACCGAGUCUUAACUGGGCGUUAAGUUGCAGGGUAUAGACCCGAAACCCGGUGAUCUAGCCAUGGGCAGGUUGAAGGUUGGGUAACACUAACUGGAGGACCGAACCGACUAAUGUUGAAAAAUUAGCGGAUGACUUGUGGCUGGGGGUGAAAGGCCAAUCAAACCGGGAGAUAGCUGGUUCUCCCCGAAAGCUAUUUAGGUAGCGCCUCGUGAAUUCAUCUCCGGGGGUAGAGCACUGUUUCGGCAAGGGGGUCAUCCCGA